GACGAACGCUGGCGGCGUGCUUAACACAUGCAAGUCGAGCGGAAAGGCCACUUCGGUGGUACUCGAGCGGCGAACGGGUGAGUAACACGUGAGUAAUCUGCCCCUCACUUUGGGAUAGCCACCGGAAACGGUGAUUAAUACCGGAUAUGACCAUAUGUCGCAUGGCGUGUGGUGGAAAGUUUUUCGGUGAGGGAUGUGCUCGCGGCCUAUCAGCUUGAUGGUGAGGUAAUGGCUCACCAUGGCUUCGACGGGUAGCCGGCCUGAGAGGGUGACCGGUCACACUGGGACUGAGACACGGCCCAGACUCCUACGGGAGGCAGCAGUGGGGAAUAUUGGACAAUGGGCGGAAGCCUGAUCCAGCAACGCCGCGUGAGGGAUGACGGCCUUCGGGUUGUAAACCCCUUUCAGUACCGACGAAGCGCAAGUGACGGUAGGUACAGAAGAAGCACCGGCCAACUACGUG
RNAcentral lists this ribosomal RNA (463 nucleotides) under uncultured bacterium. RNAcentral's name for it is "partial 16S ribosomal RNA". It matches the Rfam family "Bacterial small subunit ribosomal RNA", at positions 28 to 507 of the family's 1533-position model. The record is from RNAcentral.